RNAcentral lists this ribosomal RNA (497 nucleotides) under uncultured bacterium. RNAcentral's name for it is "partial 16S ribosomal RNA". It matches the Rfam family "Bacterial small subunit ribosomal RNA", at positions 28 to 507 of the family's 1533-position model. The record is from RNAcentral.
GAUGAACGCUGGCGGCGUGCCUAAUACAUGCAAGUCGAGCGAACGGACGAGAAGCUUGCUUCUCUGAUGUUAGCGGCGGACGGGUGAGUAACACGUGGAUAACCUACCUAUAAGACUGGGAUAACUUCGGGAAACCGGAGCUAAUACCGGAUAAUAUUUUGAACCGCAUGGUUCAAAAGUGAAAGACGGUCUUGCUGUCACUUAUAGAUGGAUCCGCGCUGCAUUAGCUAGUUGGUAAGGUAACGGCUUACCAAGGCAACGAUGCAUAGCCGACCUGAGAGGGUGAUCAGCCACACUGGAACUGAGACACGGUCCAGACUCCUACGGGAGGCAGCAGUAGGGAAUCUUGCGCAAUGGGCGAAAGCCUGACGGAGCAACGCCGCGUGAGUGAUGAAGGUCUUCGGAUCGUAAAACUCUGUUAUUAGGGAAGAGCAUAUGUGUAAGUAACUGUGCACAUCUUGACGGUACCUAAUCAGAAAGCCACGGCUAACUACGUG